GAUGAAGAACGUAGCGAAAUGCGAUACGUAAUGUGAAUUGCAGAAUUCAGUGAAUCAUCGAAUCUUUGAACGCAUAUUGCGCUCUCUGGUAUUCCGGAGAGCAUGCUUGUUUGAGUAUCAGUAAACACCUCAACUUCCAUAUCUUUUUUGAAAUGGGAGUUGGACUUGAGUGAUCCCAACGCUUUUCCUCACCGAAAAGUGGCGGGUUACUUGAAAUGCAGGUGCAGCUGGACUUUUCUCUGCGCUAUAAGCAUAUCUAUUUAGUCUGCCUAAAAAACAGAUUAUUACCUUUGCUGCAGCUAACAUAAAGGAGAUUAGUUCUUGUGCUGACUGAUGCAGGAUUCACAAAGACAGGCUUCGGCCGACUUUGUAAACUCGAUCUCAAAUCAAGUAAGACUACCCGCUGAACUUAAGCAUAUCAAUAAGCGGAGGA
RNAcentral lists this unclassified non-coding RNA (433 nucleotides) under soil metagenome. RNAcentral describes it as "partial contains 5.8S ribosomal RNA, internal transcribed spacer 2, and large subunit ribosomal RNA". The stretch from base 1 to 120 matches the Rfam family "5.8S ribosomal RNA", at positions 35 to 154 of the family's 154-position model. The record is from RNAcentral.